CAAAAUCACAUAUCCGUCGGUGCCCCGUUGGGCUGAAAAGGGAAGUGGGGUGCAAAUCCCCCGCGGACCCGCCACUGUAAGCGCGGACAACGGACCGAAAUGCCACUGGCCAGAAAAGCUGGGAAGGCGGUCCUGCGAACGAAGCGCGAGCCAGAAUACCUGCCGCUACGGAUAACCCACA
Molecule: non-coding RNA, 181 nt
Filed under: Pelobacter sp.
Lineage: Bacteria; Pseudomonadati; Thermodesulfobacteriota; Desulfuromonadia; Desulfuromonadales; Desulfuromonadaceae
Source: RNAcentral